UACUUGAUAUAAAUAUGAUUACUUACAUAUAAAAGAAAAAUUUUUUGAAAUGUAAUAAAAUAGGAAUAUUUUUACGAACACUCGAGUCACUAGAUUGAUACAUAAUAUGCUUAAAUAUAUACGAAAACCGCGAAUUUUUCGGAAAAUGCCGAAUAUGUCCGAAGAUACACGAAGUUACCGGCUUAUACCCACAGCUCGUGACCCGACAUAUUGUUUUUCGUCUUUACGUGAGGUGUUCGUUUCGGUGUGAAUAAUUAAUUUAUAAUUUAGUGUAAAUAUAUAGUGUAAUAAUUAAAAGUACGUGAUCAACAUCGAUGAUUUUACACGAGGCAAUAUUAUCCAAAUCGUCGAUACCGGUAAAGGGUCUGGCGGCGGGGUAUGAGAAGCUGCGAAAUAGGAAGUAGAAUAGAAAUAUCCUUCCGUCGACGUUGGAACAAUGGCGUGGAUACGCUGUCUACGCCACUGUUCCACAAUACGGAGAGGUGAGGGACACGCGAGCACGCAGCCCAGACGAUCGGUUCUCUCUCGCGAAGAGAGGAUGAGACGUGGGAGUGGCUGGCCAUUGGCACAGAGUUACGACUCUCGGCCUCGUCAUCCGUUACUCGUUUUCCGCUUCACCCUCGUGUGUGUCCACUCCUUUCCUGCCUCUCUGACCUCGCUGCUGGAUGGACACGCCUCGCUUUGUCUACCGUGGAACGCGAUUCAAACCGCGAAACAGCCGGGGAUUGAGACAACUUCCCCGUACAGAGGAGCCGGUUCAAACUAUUCCGAGAACCGAGCGUGGAAUUCUUUGUCGUCGUAGUUUCCACUGCAAUUUUUCCGCCGCACAUUCCCUUAAACGACUCGCCGUGGAACAAU
This is a long non-coding RNA of Apis florea (little honeybee), 858 nucleotides long. Lineage: Eukaryota; Metazoa; Arthropoda; Insecta; Hymenoptera; Apidae. The record is from RefSeq and is a predicted model, not a curated record.